Long non-coding RNA from Mustela erminea (ermine), 154 nucleotides. RefSeq lists it as uncharacterized. The record is from RefSeq and is a predicted model, not a curated record. NCBI's taxonomy places the organism in Eukaryota, Metazoa, Chordata, Mammalia, Carnivora, Mustelidae. The transcript is spliced from 3 exons.
CAGAAUUGCUGUUGUUCUUCUCUUCGAUCUGCUGAUGGAUUUGCAGGUGUUUGCAAUCUUUAGAUAAGCUAUCUAGCUGAUCUCCUGCUAGCUGAUCUAGUCUCAGCUUGCUACUUUUCCGCCAUCUUCUCGCCAAACUUCUUUCUCUUAAAAU